GCCGAGGUGGCAGAAUCCGGUAUCGCGGCAGUCUCGAAAACUGCUCCCGCAAGGGGUUGCAGGUUCAAAUCCUGUCCUCGGCG
RNAcentral lists this transfer RNA (83 nucleotides) under Candidatus Naiadarchaeales archaeon SRR2090153.bin1042. RNAcentral's name for it is "tRNA-Ser". It matches the Rfam family "tRNA". Rfam says of the family: Transfer RNA (tRNA) molecules are approximately 80 nucleotides in length. Their secondary structure includes four short double-helical elements and three loops (D, anti-codon, and T loops). Further hydrogen bonds mediate the characteristic L-shaped molecular structure. tRNAs have two regions of fundamental functional importance: the anti-codon, which is responsible for specific mRNA codon recognition, and the 3' end, to which the tRNAs corresponding amino acid is attached (by aminoacyl-tRNA synthetases). tRNAs cope with the degeneracy of the genetic code in two manners: having more than one tRNA (with a specific anti-codon) for a particular amino acid; and 'wobble' base-pairing, i.e. permitting non-standard base-pairing at the 3rd anti-codon position. RNAcentral also lists the same sequence under 2 other names. The record is from RNAcentral. Lineage: Archaea; Nanobdellati; Candidatus Undinarchaeota; Candidatus Undinarchaeia; Candidatus Naiadarchaeales.